Molecule: ribosomal RNA, 420 nt
Filed under: Bacillus sp. p4_D05
Lineage: Bacteria; Bacillati; Bacillota; Bacilli; Caryophanales; Bacillaceae
Description: partial 16S ribosomal RNA
Rfam family: Bacterial small subunit ribosomal RNA
Source: RNAcentral
GCGUAAGCGCGCGCAGGCGGUUUCUCAAGUCUGAUGUGAAAUCCCCCGGCUCAACCGGGGAGGUGCAUUGGAAACUGGGGAGCUUGAGUCCUGAAGAGGGGGGUAGAAUUCCAGGUGUAGCGGUGAAAUGCGUAGAGAUGUGGAGGAACACCGGUGGCGAAGGCGGCUUUUUGGUCUGUAACUGACGCUGAGGCGCGAAAGCGUGGGGAGCAAACAGGAUUAGAUACCCUGGUAGUCCACGCCGUAAACGAUGACUGUUUGGAGGUUGAGGGCUUCCGCCCUUUCUUGCUGAGCCUAACGCAUUAAUCACUCCGCCGGGGGAGUACGGUCGCAAGACUGAAACUCAAAGGAAUUGACGGGGGCCCGCACAACCGGGGGACCAGGGGGUUUAUUUCAAAUCAACCCGAAAAACCUUACCGG